This is a long non-coding RNA of Raphanus sativus (radish), 976 nucleotides long. RefSeq lists it as uncharacterized. The record is from RefSeq and is a predicted model, not a curated record. The transcript has 4 exons. Lineage: Eukaryota; Viridiplantae; Streptophyta; Magnoliopsida; Brassicales; Brassicaceae.
UCAGUGGAGAUUCAACCUUCUCUAAGCCAUCUUCUUCUCCAUCUCCAGCCACCAUGAAAGAGGAGCCCUCACACCAUUUGAGAAGAGAGAUUAAAGCUCAUUAGACACGUUUAUGGAGAAGUGAAGAACGAUCGAUCAAAACUGAGUAUUUCGAAUCCAACUUUUGAGAUCGGAUCCGCCGAUAGUCAAUUUCAUCGGUGUUUUCCCGUUGAUCUAGAAGAACCAGCAAACGAGCGAGAUAUCAUCAGAAAGAUCUCGUUGUCAGCUUUCCUUAUCAUCUUCCCGAUCGUAAAACCAAGGCACGGUUGGAAAGUUAUCGACUUUGCUUCUUGGCCAAGGAUAAGCUGAAGCUUUAGUGAUGCAGAUACAGUUCCGACCAGUCUCAGCAUAAAGGCCAAACGGCCGACCUAAAUGAAAGAUUUCAAUCUGGAAAUUUGUUAGUAAGUAGUUCACUCUUUUAUCUAUCGUCUCCAAGAAGCGGAUUGUCAUUUAGAGUAAUUUUCUGAAAGUUGUGUUUGUUUUCGCGAGAGGUAUUACUGCAGUCUUCGUUUGCGACCAGCCUGGAGGAGAAGUUAAUUUGGUUAAUCAAAUAGUGUCCAUGGACAGAGGACAUCUAGGACUACAUUCUGACCGUACGGAUUGAAAAGUUAACGAGAGUUCCGGAGUUGCUGUUUCAAAGUCGUCAAUGUUCAUUAUGUGUUUUCUCAGGUUAUCUUUAGAACCCGUGGCAAAGGUGAGGUAGCCGAGCAGGAGUGAUUGCUUUCGGAUUGGUGCUUUGGGAGUUUUAUUCUUAUUUUCAGACUUCGGUUUUAUGCUUUUAUCGAUAUUUUCCGGGAUUUAUUUUAUUUAUGCUAUUAUUGGAUUAUGGUUUUGAGUUUGACUUUUGAGAAUUAAUAAAUAGAGACUUUUAUGAGAUUAUUAUUUAUUAUAUUAUUUUAGAAAAUCGGAGUAUUACAAACAUAUACAACAUUUUAUU